Molecule: ribosomal RNA, 401 nt
Filed under: uncultured bacterium
Lineage: Bacteria
Description: bacterial SSU rRNA
Rfam family: Bacterial small subunit ribosomal RNA
Source: RNAcentral
AAUCAACGCUGGCGGCGUGCCUCAGACAUGCAAGUCGAACGAUUAAACUUUCCUUCGGGAAAGAUAUAAAGUGGCGCGACGGGUGAGUAACACGUAAGUAAUCUACCUUCGAGUGGGGAAUAACGUCGGGAAACCGACGCUAAUACCGCAUAAUGCAGCGGCACCUAAUGGUGACAGUUGUUAAAGGAGCAAUUCGCUUGAAGAGGAGCUUGCGGCAGAUUAGCUAGUUGGAAGGUAACGGCUUACCAAGGCUACGAUCUGUAACCGGUCUAAGAGGACGGUCGGUCACACUGACACUGAAUAACGGGUCAGGCUCCUACGGGAGGCAGCAGUCGGGAAUUUUGGCAAUGGGCGAAAGCCUGACCCAGCAACGCCGCGUGAAGGAUGAAGUAUUUCGGUAU